AAAUUAUACAGUCGAGUUUCCCACAUUUGGGGGAAUUGCAGUGGUCACCACAUCCGGAGUGCAAUGGAUAAGCCUCGCCCUGGGAAAACCACCUUCGUGAUCAUGGUAUCUCCCCUGCCAGGUGUACUUUUCAGUCACAAGAGGAAUGAAAAAGAGGAGAGGUGAUGUGAUUUAAUGAAAAGGCCAUUGAACAAGCUGCAAAGACUCUCAAAUGAGAUCAUGUGAAAUUUCGCCUUUGGAAAAAAGGAAAUGUUCCCCAGCAACUGCAUUAUUAAAACAGGACGGGUUUCAAAAGAGUUGUCUGAAACCAUGGCAAACUUUGAUUCAAUCUCAGUGGAAUAACUGCAAGAUACAAACUACUAUCAUUUGGAAGACAUUGUCAAUUUUUUUAAAAGAAAAGAUAAAAUUCAUCCAUUUCUCACUCUUCUAUUUAUACUACCUAAACACUAUGUAAUGCCAACCAACUGUAAAUUCAAUGCGUUAUGACUGUCAAAGACAUAUUAUAAAGUAGAGGAUAAAUAUGUAGCUAGAUUGCUUGAAUAUACAAGAUCACUUUGUCCAAAAACAUUUUUUCAAUCCAUUGUAAUUCAAGCAUUUCAUUUUGGUAAAUUGGAAUGGUCACAUUCGGAACCAAAGAUGAGUUAUAAAUUAAUCAAUAGACAUUUUUGUAAUAUCCAAAUGUAAAGUAUUUACAAAUCCAUUUUCAGGUUAGGACAUACCUGAGAACUGAAAGAUAUAUAGAAAUACAAGAAAUGCAAAUAAACCUAUCUCUCAACUCCUAUUCCUAGCAAGUUCUCUGUUUUAUUCAGUUACACCUUGAGAUACAUUUUAUGUUUAGUUAAUUUAAAGAUCAGAGUUUGUCAGAUAGAAAAAACAUAUAUAACAUACACCAGAGCAAGGAUCUUUUAUACUGUUUAGUUAAAAAUAAAUCCAAGUACCUAGAAGAGUGCUUGGCACAGAGUACACAAGUGAAAAAAGAAAAACCAACAACAACAACAAAAACAACGAGAUAGAUAGCCAGAUAUAUGGAGGACGAUGGGAGUAGGGGAAGAGAGAAAAGGGAUUGAUUGAUUAAUUGAUUGACUGACUUGGGGCAUUAAAAUUUGAAAGCUUGUUUCUGAUUCUGACUUCUCCAUUUACUGAUUUACUGAUGAGGUGAUCUUUGGCAACAAAUUAAAAAGUCUGCAUUUCCUUAGCAGCAUAAUAUCAAUUACUUUACCACAGACCAAUUGUUACAAAUGAAUGAUAUUAUGUCUAUGAGACACCUUUGGAAUUUUAAAAUACAUAUAAACAUUAUGUUUAUUCACACAAAAUAUACAUCUAAAUAUCCAUGCAUUAACAUACAAUUAUAAGCCCAAACUAAAAUGAUAUCAUGUCUGCUAUAUUCUUGAUUUAACUUAAAAGUUGGCCGUGACAGUCUAGAAUUUCACACUGUUAAGAUAAGCAUAGAAUUUAUGACAUACCCAAGUACUUCAACUGACAAAGUAGAAAACUAAAUGGUAUCAUGCAUUCAAAUAAUUAAAAGAAGCUAACGAAGGUGCUUAUCUAAACUAAGCUCUAGGAGAGCACACAAGAGGGAAAAAAAGUUAUUUUGGAAGAAAUGAUGUUAUAAUUUGAGGAACAAUUUUCAAAAGAAAAUAAUAUAUCACCCUCAGCCUCUGGGAGAUGCAAAGAACUUCAGAAGGGUUAAUAUAAAUAUUUUCCUCACUGCAAAUUUUCCAUUGCUUUAAAAGACCUGUAAAACCAGUCACUUAGUAACAUUUAACUUGGUGCACCCCAUGCAAAUAACUGGAUAAGAUAAUACAGAGAACAAAAAUGCAAAAGAAAAAAAAUGCUUCUCAGACAAAGGACAUAUGUAUUAGAAAGGGAACAAGGAACACAGUGAUACAUGUAGCAUAAUGCAUCUUCUACCUAUGGCUCCCUGAACUAAGAAUUCCUCCUAGGGAGUGUGUGGAUGAGCAAUUGCUAUGAUUCCACUGAUGUCCUCUCUUUAAAAUAAAUAAAUAAAUAAAUAAAAUAGUGAAAACUUUCUAUCAGUGAAGUCCACCAUCCAGGUAGAUCAUAUCAUGCAUAUCCAUGUUGUGCAAAGUUGUUCAAAGGAAAACAAAGAGAUAAGCAACUCUAACCCUGUAAUCACUACCAAAGCAGUAAAUUUUUGUGAUUAGAGAAACUAAGACUGAGGGAAGCAUUUGUACACUGCAGAAAAUGCAAUCUUAAGUGUCUGGACUGUCCGUUGCCUGAGUAAGGUUUUCUUCAUUGCUGACAGAAUGAUAUACAUAGAUUUUUACAGAGCUAAUUGUUGGAAAACAAACGCUUUCCCCUGGUCAAGAUUGAUCACCUGUGAAAACGACAGUCAAUACCUUUGGGUUGUUCAACUCCACUUUAAAGUACUUAAAGGAAAAAAAAAAAAACAUUUCAAAAUGGCGAAUCAUUAUGCUUUCAAGUUCGUAUUACCAAACUUUUGGAUUCCCACUUUCAGAUUUUGAAAUUCACAGAAUAACCAACACAUAUCUCCCUGCAAAAAAUGAAUUCCAGAUACGUAUGUGUAAGCUUCUGAGGUUUAGUGGAUUAUUAUGUUGUCUUGCUUGAGACAACAAAGCUCAAUCCCUUAGAUUUCAUUAAUACACAUCUGACGCUUUCUAUAAAAUCAGUUUUGUUCAGACCUGAAUUGACUGAAGUAGACAAAUUGAACAACAGUAAUGUCAAACACUGCCAAACAGGACUGGGCUGGUUUAAAGACAGAGAAGUGUGACAUAGCUGACAAAACCCUGCUGUCUUCAAGCACAACUUAAACAUCUCCAAACCCUCAUUUCUAAUUAUCUAAAUUACUGGUUUGCACAGGCAAAAAUAGCAGGGAUGCCCAAAAAAGUACACACAUUUUAAGAGAUGUUAUCUAUAUUCCAGCAGUAGUUUGCCAUAUUCAGAAGUGUCUGGACUCUGAUGGUCACCACUUUGAGCACCUCUUUAAUUACAGAAGUCAAAUGUGACUUGUAUUCAUCUUUUGUUCUUGGUAUAUAUUGAGUAUUGCAAUUAAUACAGUUUUUUUUUUCCUUUCUUAAAAUGUGUAUACAUUUUUUUUGGUACUCUGUGUAUUUGAUGUUAAAGCAGAGUAAAAAUAAAGCUGGAAAGCAUGAGCAUAUCAAAGCCUGCUAGACAAGUCAUUAUUCAAAAGUUUUAUUACCCUAGAAGAGAUGGAGAUGAUGCUAGAAUAAGAGGACAUGUUAUAAAUACAGCUAUUUAUACUUUUUUGUGUCUUCAUGUCAUAAAUAACUGCAUGCUAAUU
Molecule: long non-coding RNA, 3283 nt
Organism: Rhinolophus ferrumequinum (greater horseshoe bat)
Lineage: Eukaryota; Metazoa; Chordata; Mammalia; Chiroptera; Rhinolophidae
Exons: 4
Source: RefSeq, a predicted model, not a curated record